This 67-nucleotide transfer RNA is filed under the name Psittacara mitratus (mitred parakeet). RNAcentral's name for it is "tRNA-Phe". RNAcentral also lists the same sequence under 4 other names. The record is from RNAcentral. Lineage: Eukaryota; Metazoa; Chordata; Aves; Psittaciformes; Psittacidae.
GUCCUUGUAGCUUAAACCAAAGCAUGUCGCUGAAGACGCCAAGACGGACACCACCACUCCCAAGGAC